UACGUAGGGUGCAAGCGUUGUCCGGAUUUAUUGGGCGUAAAGAGCUCGUAGGCGGUUCGACAAGUCGGGGGUGAAAACUCCGGGCUCAACCCGGAGACGCCACCCGAUACUGUCGUGACUGGAGUCCGGUAGGGGAGUGGGGAAUUCCUGGUGUAGCGGUGAAAUGCGCAGAUAUCAGGAGGAACACCGGUGGCGAAGGCGCCACUCUGGGCCGGUACUGACGCUGAGGAGCGAAAGCGUGGGUAGCAAACAGG
Molecule: ribosomal RNA, 254 nt
Filed under: uncultured bacterium
Lineage: Bacteria
Description: partial 16S ribosomal RNA
Rfam family: Bacterial small subunit ribosomal RNA
Source: RNAcentral